Pan troglodytes (chimpanzee) is the source of this 3580-nucleotide long non-coding RNA. The record is from Ensembl. NCBI's taxonomy places the organism in Eukaryota, Metazoa, Chordata, Mammalia, Primates, Hominidae.
GUUGGUGUUAGCAUCCUUUGUGCCAGAAAGUGAUUUAGUCAUUUGUAACAGCACCAAUGAAAGUUUGCUAAUUGUUCUGUGUGGCAUUAAUCACUGCGUUUUCAAUUAGUAUUUUGUGGGUUUACUUUGCAUCAUUCAGUGACUCACCUUAAUUCCACUUUAAACGGAAAUAGGGUGAAGAUGAUGACUACUUGCCUGAUAAUGUGACCUUUGCACCCAAAGAUGUCACACCUGUGGAUUUCACACCUAAAGAUAAUGUGCAUGGUCUGGCUUACAAGGGCCUGGAUCCCCACCAGGCACUGUUUGGAACUUCGGGAGAACAUUUUAAUCUUUUCAGUGGUGGUUCUGAGAGAGCUGGCGAUCUUGGAGAAAUUGGACUGAAUAAAGGAAGAAAAUUGGGAAUUUCAGGCCAGGCUUUUGGUGUAGGUGCCCUGGAAGAGGAAGAUGAUGAUAUCUAUGCCACAGAAACUCUAUCCAAGUAUGACACUGUUCUGAAGGACGAGGAGCCUGGAGACGGACUCUAUGGCUGGACAGCACCCAGGCAGUAUAAAAACCAGAAAGAAUCAGAGAAAGACCUUCGGUACGUUGGCAAAAUUUUGGAUGGAUUUUCCUUGGCUUCUAAACCUUUAUCUUCUAAGAAAGUAAGAAAAACUUUUUUUCUUUCUUUUUUUACUGGUUUAGUUCUUAAAAUAUUUGCUGCUAUGUGAUCUGAGUUCUAUUAACAACAGGAAAGAUAAGUAAAUUCUGUUUUCAAAAAACAACAGCCUGGUUACUAGUGAUUGUCUAGAAAAACAUUCUACGUUAGAAAUAUCAGGGCCAGGCACAGUGGCUCAUGCCUGUAAUCCCAGCACUUUGGGAGGCCAAGGUGGGUGGAUCACCUGAGGUCGGGAGUUUAAGACCAGCCUGACCAACAUGGAGAAACCCCGUCUCUACUAAAAAUACAAAAUUAGCUGCGCGUGGUGUCGCAUGCCUGUAAUCCCAGCUACUAGGGAGGCUGAGGUGGGAGAAUCACUUGAACCCAGGAGGUGGAGGUUGCAGUGAGCCAAGAUCACACCACUGCACUCCAGCCUGGACAACACGUAAAACUCUGUCUCAAAAAAAAAAAAAAAAUUAAGUUGGCGAGGCGUGGUGGCUCACGCCUGUAAUCCCAGCACUUUGGGAGGCCAAGGUUGUCAGAUCACCUGAGGUUAGGAGUUUGAGACCACCCUGGCCAAUAUGGCAAAACCCCGUCUCUACUAAAAAUAGAAAAAUUAGCCAGGUGUGGUGGUGGGCGUCUGUAAUCCCAGUUACUCGGGAGGCUGAGGCAGGAGAAUUACUUGAGUCCGGAAGGUGGAGGUUGCAGUGAGCCAACAUUGUGCCACUGCACGUCUAGCCUGGGUGACAGAGCAAGACUCCAUCUCAAAAAAAGAAAAAAAAAGAAAAGGAAGCAUAGUUUAAAAAUGAUGGAGAAGCACUCACUGGUCCUUAGGAUAAAUAGUCCAGCCUGGCCCCAGGUAGCUCCCAUCCAACAAAGGUAGCAGAUACACAAAUACAGAGUCGUGGGCAAACAUCCCUAAGUGGAGAGACACAGUCCUGGGGGUUCCUGGCGCUUCUCUGGAGUAGGGCUUUGGGCAGGAACACUUCAGAAGAGGGCUGUGUUCAUCUAGCCUUUCACACACAGAUUUAGAUGGUUCUCUAGAUCUGAAUCUAGAGGUCAAACAGAACAAUGAUUUGGCAGACAGACAGAGAGAAAUACUUUCAAUCCAAGACUGGGCAUGGUGGCUUACGCCUGUAAUCCUAGCACUUUGGGAGGCCAACGCGGGCAGAUCGCUAGAGUCCAGGAGUUCGAGACCAGCCUGGGCAACAUGGUGAAACCCCAUCUCUACAAAAAAUACAUAAAAAAAAAAAAAUUAGCUGGGUGUGGUGGUAUGUGCCUGUAGUCCUAGCCUCUUGGGGGCCUGAGGUGGGAGGAUUGCUUGAGCCUGGGAGGUCCAGGCUGCAGUGAGCUGUGAUUGGCUGCUGCACUCCAGCCUGGGCAACAGAGUGAGACCCUGUCUCAAAAAAAAAAAAAGAAAUACUUUGAAUCCCAUGGAGGAUAUAGAGAAGUGGACACACUCCUCCUUUCUGCCAUGUUCCUCUGGGUUUUUGUGUGGUGGUAACAUGAGAGUGUUUUCUGGCUGAUUUGGGGGUGUGUCUCCAGAAGGUGAUGAAGCUAAGAUGAUUAAAAAAACAGGAUUUCUUGACAAUGAUAACACCACUCUUUCAUGGACUUUCAUUGUGCCAGGGGCUUGACCCAGGCUGUGUAUUUUAACAACCACCUGGGGAGCUUGGGGAACUCCAGUUAUAGCAGACUCUCUGGGGUGGGGCGCAGGCAUCAGUAUAGUUACAACUCCUCAGGCGAGUCCAGCAUGCACCUGGACCUGAGAGCCAGCGGAGAGAGGGGCCGGGAGAGAGGGGUCAGUGCUUUCAGCCACAGGGUUACUUCAUCAUGGACUUCAGCUUUCAUGUAGCUUAAAAAUCUAGAGAAUAUUUCAGUGUGAAUUUGGGGGAAAAAAUAGUAAAGAAAAGUCUAGAAAAUAGCUUAAAUAACAAACACAUGUGGAUUUGUUAGACCAAGAGCAAGGGAGACCAUUUAAUGCAGUUAUUUAACAAUAUUUAGUACUUUCCUUUACCUUGUCUGCUGUGCCAUCAUUCAUGCCUGUCAGUGUUAAAAAUCCCCAAAUUUCCCAAAUAGAUUUUCAUUUCACUUCCGUCAACUUUUAAAUUAAAGUUUUUAAAUUCCUGUCCCCACUCCCCUCCUAGCUCCUGGGCCAGGUCCUCUUGGCUCUACUCACAUUAUUCAUAGUAAUAUCUUGGAUGAAAAAAAUAGGCCAGGCGUGGUGGCUUACGCCUGUAAUUCCAGCACAUUGGGAGGCUGAGGCGGGUGGAUCAUUUGAGGUCAGGAGUUUGAGACCAGCCUGGCCAACAUGGUGAAACCCCGUCUCUACUAAAAAUACAAAAAUUAGCCAGGCAUGGUGAUGCGUGCCUGUAAUUCCUGCUACUUGGGAGGCUGAGGCAGGAGAAUUGCAUACCCAGAGCUGAGAUUGCACCACUGCACUGCAGCCUGGAUGACAGAGCAAGACUCUGUCUCAAAAAAAAAAAAAAAAAGAAAAAGAAAAAAGAAAGCCUGAAGCUUCAAUUUGCAACUGAAACAUAACUAGAAAAAAUAAUUAUGAAUUUAAAAAUAACUACAGUUAUUAUUAUUAUUAUUAAUUAUUAUUUUUGAGAUGGAGUCUCACUCUGUCACCCAGGCUGGAGUGCAGUGGUGCAAUCUCAGCUCACUGCAACCUCUGCUUCCCAGGCUCAAGCAAUUCUCCUGCCUCAGCCUUCCAAGUAGCUGGGAUUACAGGCAUCCACCACCACACCUGGCUAAUUUUUGUAUUUUUAGUAGAGACGGGGUUUCACCAUGUUGGCCAGGCUGGUCUUGAACUCUUGACCUUAAGUGAUCUGCCUACCUUGUCCUCCCAAAGUGCUGGGAUUAUAGGCAUGAGCCACUGUGCCCAGCUAUUAUUAUUAUUUAUUUUUCUUUUUUUUUUGUUUGAGACGGAGUCUCGCUCUGUUU